AUAAGCCUUAGUAAGAUUGGUUCCAAUCGAAGGAACCUCGGCCAAUAUAGUUCGGAUCAAAGGAACUUGGGUUCUGAACAAAAGAACAUUCGCGAUAAUUAGGCCGGUCAGAAGCUGUUGAGCCAGAGCCGAUCAUAGGUUGUUAUCCAAGGGUGAUGAUGAGUGGCAUCUUUGCUCUACUCUUCAUACGAGUGGUAUCUUUGCUCUACUCAUUUUUAGUUAUAGGUCGGUCAAAGGUCGGUUAUUGUAGGCUGAGGAUUCUUUUAGUUAGCCUUCCAAAGGUCCUUUUAGGUUAGCCUAUUGAGAUUUGAUGCCUCAAGAUUCUAUCCAUAUUAAGCCUAC
This 342-nucleotide long non-coding RNA is filed under the name Elaeis guineensis (African oil palm). RNAcentral describes it as "long non-coding RNA (EGUI_LNC018527)". The record is from RNAcentral. Lineage: Eukaryota; Viridiplantae; Streptophyta; Magnoliopsida; Arecales; Arecaceae.